UAGGCUUUCGCAACGGAUGCGACAAAAUUGUAUGUGGUCAAAGUGCUGGAUUUGUUUAGAUAUCUAAGUAUUGUGUCCAUUAAAUCAACUGCAUCUAUUAUUACUCAUGAUGAGGGCAAGUUGUUCGCUAUUUUUAGUAUAUUGCAACUAGUUGAAGAUCACACAUUUCCAUAUAUCUACAAUGCAGUUUACGCUGCCACUUCUAAAUCAUUUCCGGGAGGCGUCUUCGUUCUGAGUAAUUUUUUCUAUGUACCCACUGUGCUGAUUUUCAUUGUAUGUUACUUUUUAUUACACCGUCGUGGCACGAAUUUGGCAACGAAAAUCGAAAAUCCCUGAACGAUUUACUUACGUCACUAAAAAGAAACCGAAACCUUUUAAAAUAUAUAAAUGUUCUAGAAUGU
Molecule: long non-coding RNA, 401 nt
Organism: Drosophila sulfurigaster albostrigata
Lineage: Eukaryota; Metazoa; Arthropoda; Insecta; Diptera; Drosophilidae
Exons: 3
Source: RefSeq, a predicted model, not a curated record